UCGAGAAUUUUUCUCAAUGGGGGAAACCCUGAAGGAGCGACGCCGCGUGGAGGAUGAAGGUCUUCGGGUUGUAAACUCCUGUCAUUUGGGAACAAGGUGUGCGCGUUAACUGCGCGCGCAUUGAUAGUACCAGAAGAGGAAGAGACGGCUAACUCUGUGCCAGCAGCCGCGGUAAUACAGAGGUCUCAAGCGUUGUUCGGAUUCAUUGGGCGUAAAGGGUGCGUAGGCGGCGCGGUAAGUCGGGUGUGAAAUUUCGAGGCUUAACUUCGAAACUGCAUUCGAUACUGCCGUGCUUGAGGACUGGAGAGGAGACUGGAAUUUACGGUGUAGCGGUGAAAUGCGUAGAUAUCGUAAGGAAGACCAGUGGCGAAGGCGGGUCUCUGGACAGUUCCUGACGCUGAGGCACGAAGGCCAGGGGAGCAAACGG
Molecule: ribosomal RNA, 427 nt
Filed under: uncultured bacterium
Lineage: Bacteria
Description: bacterial SSU rRNA
Rfam family: Bacterial small subunit ribosomal RNA
Source: RNAcentral